This 2169-nucleotide long non-coding RNA is filed under the name Triticum aestivum (bread wheat). RNAcentral's name for it is "long non-coding RNA (TAES_LNC017172)". The record is from RNAcentral. Lineage: Eukaryota; Viridiplantae; Streptophyta; Magnoliopsida; Poales; Poaceae.
UCUAGGGGAAUAAAGAUGGAAUGACUUCUAAUUUUUAGGUCCGUAUGGUUUGAAAUACUUGCACACAAACCGCCCGAAAGCAUUCCUAGAAAUCUCGGCCCAAAAAAUGACGUUUAGUAAUUCUAAAUGGGAAUACAAGAUGAAAAACAAUAGUUUUGGCAGUUAAAGUUUGAGAUUCGAUGGUGUCGUAGAUCCAUUUGGUCAUCAGGUGUUACGAGCCACACCCAUGUCUAGCUAGAAUAGUGUGUCAGGCUCAGGCUAGAGAAGAAACGGGGAACAAACUGAUGAAAGAAUUAUCAUAACGAGGGAAUUCACUCAGAACUAACAAGAAUGAUAACGUGCUCCGACUGGAGCGGUUUAGGAACUUCUGGAAGCCUCUAGGGGAAUAAAGAUGGAAUGACUUCUAAUUUUUAGGUCCGUACGAUUUGAAAUACUUGCACACAAACCCCAAGAAAGCGUUUCUGGAAAUCUCGGCCCAAAAAAGGACGUUUAGUAAUUCUAAAAGGGACUACAGGAUGAAAAACAAUAGUUUUGCCAGUUAAAGUUUGAGAUUCGAUGGUGCCGUAGAUCCGUUUGGUCAUCAGGUGUUACGAGCCACACCCAUGUCUAGCUAGAAUAGUGUGUCAGGCUCAGGCUAGAGAAGAAACAGGGUACAAACUGAUGAAAGAAUUAUCAUACCGAGGGAAUUCACUCAGAACUAACAAGAAUGAUAACGUGCUCCGACUGGAGCAGUUUAGGAACGGCUUGAAGGCUCUAGGGGAAUAAAGAUGGAAUGACUUCUAAUUUUUAGGUCCGUAUGAUUUGAAAUACUUGCACACAAACCCCGAGAAAGCGUUCCUGGAAAUCUCGGCCCAAAAAGGACGUUUAGUAAUUCUAAAAGGGACUACAAGAUGAAAAACAAUAGUUUUGGCAGUUAAAGUUUGAGAAUCGAUGGUGCCGUAGAUCCGUUUGGUCAUCAGGUGUUACGAGCACACCCAUGUCUAGCUUGAAUAGUGUGUCAGGCUCAGUCUAGAGAAGAAACGGGGAACAAACUGAUGAAAGAAUUAUCAUACCGAGGGAAUUCACUCAGAAUUAACAAGAAUGAUAACGUGCUCCGACUUGAGCGGUUUAGGAACAGCUGGAAGGCUCUAGGGGAAUAAAGAUGGAAUGACUUCUAAUUUUUAGGUCCGUAUGAUCUGAAAUACUUGCACAAAAACCUCGAGAAAGCGUUCCUGGAAAUCUUGGCCCAAAAAAGGACGUUUAGUAAUUCUAAAAGGGACUACAAGAUGAAAAAUAAUAGUUUUGCCAGUUAAAGUUUGAGAUUCGAUGGUGUCGUAGAUCCGUUUGGUCAUCAGGUGUUACGAGCCACACCCAUGUCUAGCUAGAAUAGUGUGUCAGGCUCAGGCUGGAGAAGAAACAGGGUACAAACUGAUGAAAGAAUUAUCAUACUGAGGGAAUUCACUCAGAACUAACAAGAAUGAUAACGUGCUCCGACUGGAGCGGUUUAGGAACUGCUGGAAAGGUCUAGGGGAAUAAAGAUGGAAUGACUUCUAAUUUUUAGGUCCGUAUGGUUUGAAAUACUUGCACACAAACCGCACGAAAGCAUUCCUAGAAAUCUCGGCCCAAAAAAUGACGUUUAGUAAUUCUAAAUGGGACUAUAGGAUGAAAAACAAUAGUUUUGGCAGUUAAAGUUUGAGAUUCGAUGGUGCCGUAGAUCCGUUUGGUCAUCAGGUGUUACGAGCCACACCCAUGUCUAGCUAGAAUAGUGUGUCAGGCUCAGGCUAGAGAAGAAACGGGGAACAAACUGAUGAAAGAAUUAUCAUAACGAGGGAAUUCACUCAGAACUAACAAGAAUGAUAACGUGCUCCGACUGGAGCGGUUUAGGAACUGCUGGAAGGCUCUAGGGGAAUAAAGAUGGAAUGACUUCUAAUUUUUAGGUCCGUAUGAUUUGAAAUACUUGCACACAAACCCCGAGAAAGCGUUCCUGGAAAUCUCGGCCCAAGAAAGGACGUUUAGUAAUUCUAAAAGGGACUACAGGAUGAAAAACAAUAGUUUUGGCAGUUAAAGUUUGAGAUUCGAUGGUGCCGUAGAUCCGUUUGGUCAUCAGGUGUUACGAGCCACACCCAUGUCUAGCUUGAAUAGUGUGUCAGGCUCAGGAUAUAGAAGAAACAGGGAACAAACUGAUGAAAG